This is a microRNA precursor of Prunus persica (peach), 106 nucleotides long. It matches the Rfam family "MIR6274 microRNA precursor family". NCBI's taxonomy places the organism in Eukaryota, Viridiplantae, Streptophyta, Magnoliopsida, Rosales, Rosaceae. The record is from Rfam.
GUAUAACAUUGUUUUGCUAUUUCCGACUAAUAACACAAUGACACAUGAAAAAAUUAUCCUAUGUAUCACUAUGUUAUUAGUCGGAAAUAGCAAAAAGAUUUUGUUU